Molecule: ribosomal RNA, 564 nt
Filed under: Triticum aestivum (bread wheat)
Lineage: Eukaryota; Viridiplantae; Streptophyta; Magnoliopsida; Poales; Poaceae
Description: partial small subunit ribosomal RNA
Source: RNAcentral
AUGUUACUAGGAAGGCCAUGGCAAUAUGAUAAACAAUGUUUACAUGAUGGCAGAACUAAUCGCUACACUCUCACACAUAAAGGAAAGAAAAUCAUUCUACACCCUAUGUCUCCUGAGCAAAUUUUAAAAGAUGAUCUUGCUAGGGCUAGUAGAAACAUAAAUAUUGAGUGUACUAAAUCUGAAAAUCAUAAAGUUGUUGAUGAGUUAGAACAAUUUAAUAAGAUGCACAAAUCUGAUCUUAGCACAUCUAAAGAAAUUAAAUUGGAAGGUGCUUCUUUCUUAGCUACACGUGCUGAAAUUUUUGAGUUAGAUGCUCAAGCUGAUGAAUGUUAUGCUCUUAUAUGCAAAGAAGUUUUGUUUUCAUUUGAGGAUAUGCCUCCUUCUUUGCCUCCUGUUGUCGCUAACCUUUUGCAGGAGUAUCAUGAUGUUUUCCCAAAGGAAGUACCACUGGGGCUGCCACCUAUGAGAGGAAUUGAACAUCAAAUUGACUUGAUACCUGGCGCCUCAUUACCCAACCGUGCGCCGUACCUGACUAAUCCCGAGGAGACCAAGGAGAUUCAAUGA